UCAAUGGUCAUACCAUGGUUGGCUGUGCAGCGUUUGGAUGCUCCAAUCGGUCCGAGAAGGGUUACCACAUGUAUGGCUUCCCCAAGGACCAAGAGCGCAGGAAGAAAUGGAUGGCAAUGGUCAGCCGUCAAAACGUACAAGUGACAGGGGUCAGCAACCGUCAAAAACUAUGUAAUGUACACUUUGAAGAUGACCAAUUCACUGCCACAAAAAGAGAAGGGAUGUUGAAGCUGAGGCCCGAUGCAGUCCCAACAGUUUUCAUUCAUCGCCCUAAGCCGAAGAGGAGGAAACCCCCUUCUGUGAGGGUGCCUCCAGAACCAAGUGCAACGGACCACACAUAUUUCACCAAAUUAAACUUCGGUAUGAUCCAUGCAGCUAACAAUAUUCCCCAUUUCAUGUAAUUCAAGGAUAGACUACACUCCUAAUGAGAUUACAUAAUUCAUAUUUGUA
Long non-coding RNA from Gadus macrocephalus (Pacific cod), 450 nucleotides. RefSeq lists it as uncharacterized. Lineage: Eukaryota; Metazoa; Chordata; Actinopteri; Gadiformes; Gadidae. The transcript has 2 exons. The record is from RefSeq and is a predicted model, not a curated record.